RNAcentral lists this ribosomal RNA (402 nucleotides) under uncultured prokaryote. Its description in RNAcentral is "bacterial SSU rRNA". It matches the Rfam family "Bacterial small subunit ribosomal RNA", at positions 355 to 774 of the family's 1533-position model. The record is from RNAcentral.
UGGGGAAUAUUGGACAAUGGGCGAAAGCCUGAUCCAGCCAUGCCGCGUGAGUGAUGAAGGCCCUAGGGUUGUAAAGCUCUUUCAGCGGGGAAGAUAAUGACGGUACCCGCAGAAGAAGCCCCGGCUAACUUCGUGCCAGCAGCCGCGGUAAUACGAAGGGGGCUAGCGUUGCUCGGAAUUACUGGGCGUAAAGCGCACGUAGGCGGAUCGUUAAGUCGGGGGUGAAAUCCUGGAGCUCAACUCCAGAACUGCCUUCGAUACUGGCGAUCUCGAGUCCGGGAGGGGUGAGUGGAACUCCGAGUGUAGAGGUGAAAGUCGUAGAUAUUCGGAAGAACACCAGUGGCGAAGGCGGCUCACUGGCCCGGUACUGACGCUGAGGUGCGAAAGCGUGGGGAGCAAACA